GAGGAUAUCACCCAGCUCGUCAUGUUAGAGCACUUUUUCAAUGUGCUCCCCAACGAGAAGGCGACAACGCAUUCGUAUGUCAAUCCAUAUCAACUUUCGAUGCCAUUGACUGCGCCUACCAUGGUGACCACGGGUAAUGGGGAAUCAGGGUUCGAUUCCGUACAGGAACCCUGACAAACGGCUACCACAUGCAAGGAAGGCAGCAGGCACGCAAAUGACCCACUCCUGGCGAGGGAAGGUAGUGAC
RNAcentral lists this ribosomal RNA (246 nucleotides) under Pelobates cultripes (western spadefoot toad). RNAcentral describes it as "SSU_rRNA_microsporidia". It matches the Rfam family "Eukaryotic small subunit ribosomal RNA", at positions 227 to 471 of the family's 1831-position model. Lineage: Eukaryota; Metazoa; Chordata; Amphibia; Anura; Pelobatidae. The record is from RNAcentral.